Molecule: ribosomal RNA, 468 nt
Filed under: uncultured bacterium
Lineage: Bacteria
Description: partial 16S ribosomal RNA
Rfam family: Bacterial small subunit ribosomal RNA
Source: RNAcentral
GACGAACGCUGGCGGCGUGCUUAACACAUGCAAGUCGAACGGAAAGGCCCUGCUUUUGUGGGGUGCUCGAGUGGCGAACGGGUGAGUAACACGUGAGUAACCUGCCCUUCACUUUGGGAUAACUUCAGGAAACUGGGGCUAAUACCGGAUAGGAGCUCCUGCUGCAUGGUGGGGGGUGGAAAGUUUCGGCGGUUGGGGAUGGACUCGCGGCUUAUCAGCUUGUUGGUGGGGUAGUGGCUUACCAAGGCUUUGACGGGUAGCCGGCCUGUGAGGGUGACCGGCCACCUUGGGCCUGCGGUACGGCCCAGACUCCUACGGGAGGCAGCAGUCGGGAAUAUUGCACAGUGGGCGGAAGCCUAAUGCGGAGACGCCGCGUGCGGGAUGACGGCCUUCGGGUUGUAAACCGCUUUAGCCUGUGACGAAGCGUGAGUGACGGUAAUGGGUAAAGAAGCACCGGCUAACUCCGUG